AUACGGAAGGUCCGGGCGUUAUCCGGAUUUAUUGGGUUUAAAGGGAGCGCAGGCGGCUGUUUAAGCGUGCCGUGAAAUGCCGUGGCUCAACCAUGGCACUGCGGCGCGAACUGGGCGGCUUGAGUCGGCGGAAGGUGCGCGGAAUUCGUGGUGUAGCGGUGAAAUGCUUAGAUAUCACGAGGAACUCCGAUUGCGAAGGCAGCGCGCCGCAGCUGUACUGACGAGCAUGCUCGAAAGCGCGGGUAUCGAACAGGAUUAGAUACCCUGGUAGUCCGCGCGGUAAACGAUGGACGCCCGCUGUGUGCCAUUGCGGUACGCGGCCAAGCGAAAGCGUUAAGCGUCCCACCUGGGGAGUACGCCGGCAACGGUGAAACUCAAAUGAAUUGGCGGGG
This 392-nucleotide ribosomal RNA is filed under the name uncultured bacterium. RNAcentral describes it as "partial 16S ribosomal RNA". It matches the Rfam family "Bacterial small subunit ribosomal RNA", at positions 523 to 918 of the family's 1533-position model. The record is from RNAcentral.